Molecule: ribosomal RNA, 508 nt
Filed under: Fusarium sp. CJL-2014
Lineage: Eukaryota; Fungi; Ascomycota; Sordariomycetes; Hypocreales; Nectriaceae
Description: eukaryotic LSU rRNA
Rfam family: 5.8S ribosomal RNA (bases 127-280)
Source: RNAcentral
UGUGACAUACCUUAAUGUUGCCUCGGCGGAUCAGCCCGCGCCCCGUAAAACGGGACGGCCCGCCAGAGGACCCAAACUCUAAUGUUUCUUAUUGUAACUUCUGAGUAAAACAAACAAAUAAAUCAAAACUUUCAACAACGGAUCUCUUGGUUCUGGCAUCGAUGAAGAACGCAGCAAAAUGCGAUAAGUAAUGUGAAUUGCAGAAUUCAGUGAAUCAUCGAAUCUUUGAACGCACAUUGCGCCCGCUGGUAUUCCGGCGGGCAUGCCUGUUCGAGCGUCAUUUCAACCCUCAAGCCCCCGGGUUUGGUGUUGGGGAUCGGCUCUGCCUUCUGGCGGUGCCGCCCCCGAAAUACAUUGGCGGUCUCGCUGCAGCCUCCAUUGCGUAGUAGCUAACACCUCGCAACUGGAACGCGGCGCGGCCAUGCCGUAAAACCCCAACUUCUGAAUGUUGACCUCGGAUCAGGUAGGAAUACCCGCUGAACUUAAGCAUAUCAAUAAGCGGAGGAAA